UACGGAGGGGGCUAGCGUUGUUCAGAAUUACUGGGCGUAAAGCGCACGUAGGCGGCUUUGUAAGUUAGAGGUGAAAGCCCGGGGCUCAACCCCGGAAUUGCCUUUAAGACUGCAUCGCUUGAACGUCGGAGAGGUGAGUGGAAUUCCGAGUGUAGAGGUGAAAUUCGUAGAUAUUCGGAAGAACACCAGUGGCGAAGGCGGCUCACUGGACGACUGUUGACGCUGAGGCGCGAAAGCUAGGGGAGCAAACAGG
This 253-nucleotide ribosomal RNA is filed under the name uncultured bacterium. Its description in RNAcentral is "partial 16S ribosomal RNA". It matches the Rfam family "Bacterial small subunit ribosomal RNA", at positions 524 to 776 of the family's 1533-position model. The record is from RNAcentral.